CCAAGGACAUACUUCUUGCACAAUCGGCCAAGUAAUCUUCAUGGUCUCCAUCUGAGACUGAUCUACCUACCUUCGAAUCCAUCGACGGUACAGCGACAUCUUACGCACCGCCCUCGCCCUGAUGAAGAGGCGAUACUUUAUUU
Long non-coding RNA from Rana temporaria (common frog), 143 nucleotides. RefSeq lists it as uncharacterized. Lineage: Eukaryota; Metazoa; Chordata; Amphibia; Anura; Ranidae. The transcript is spliced from 2 exons. The record is from RefSeq and is a predicted model, not a curated record.